This 292-nucleotide ribosomal RNA is filed under the name uncultured bacterium. RNAcentral's name for it is "partial 16S ribosomal RNA". It matches the Rfam family "Bacterial small subunit ribosomal RNA", at positions 505 to 796 of the family's 1533-position model. The record is from RNAcentral.
GUGCCAGCCGCCGCGGUAAAACGUAGGAGGCGAGCGUUAUCCGGAUUUACUGGGUGUAAAGCGCGUGCAGGCGGUUGGCUAAGUUGGAUGUGAAAGCUCCUGGCUUAACUGGGAGAGGUCGUUCAAUACUGGUCGACUUGAGAGCAGUAGGGGAAGGUGGAAUUCCGGGAGUAGUGGUGAAAUGCGUAGAUAUCCGGAGGAACACCAGUGGCGAAAGCGGCCUUCUGGACUGCAUCUGACGCUCAGACGCGAAAGCUAGGGUAGCAAACGGGAUUAGAAACCCUUGUAGUCC